This 235-nucleotide ribosomal RNA is filed under the name Bacillus subtilis. Its description in RNAcentral is "partial 23S ribosomal RNA". It matches the Rfam family "Bacterial large subunit ribosomal RNA", at positions 2695 to 2925 of the family's 2925-position model. RNAcentral also lists the same sequence under 1 other name. The record is from RNAcentral. Lineage: Bacteria; Bacillati; Bacillota; Bacilli; Caryophanales; Bacillaceae.
GGAUGGACGCACCGCUGGUGUACCAGUUGUUCUGCCAAGGGCAUCGCUGGGUAGCUAUGUGCGGACGGGAUAAGUGCUGAAAGCAUCUAAGCAUGAAGCCCCCCUCAAGAUGAGAUUUCCCAUUCCGUAAGGAAGUAAGAUCCCUGAAAGAUGAUCAGGUUGAUAGGUCUGAGGUGGAAGUGUGGCGACACAUGGAGCUGACAGAUACUAAUCGAUCGAGGACUUAACCACAUUU